GCCCGGAUGGUCUAGUGGUAUGAUUCCUGCUGUAAGUUACCAUAUUACUAUUACACUUUCAAAACAACAACUAACAACAACACCAGUUGGGAUCCCAAAUCUUAAAUGCAGGAGGCCCCGCGUUCGAAUCGCGGUUCGGGCC
RNAcentral lists this transfer RNA (142 nucleotides) under Aspergillus heteromorphus CBS 117.55. RNAcentral describes it as "tRNA-OTHER". The record is from RNAcentral. Lineage: Eukaryota; Fungi; Ascomycota; Eurotiomycetes; Eurotiales; Aspergillaceae.